RNAcentral lists this ribosomal RNA (326 nucleotides) under uncultured eukaryote. Its description in RNAcentral is "partial 18S ribosomal RNA". It matches the Rfam family "Eukaryotic small subunit ribosomal RNA", at positions 1470 to 1796 of the family's 1831-position model. The record is from RNAcentral.
CCCUUAGAUGUCCGGGGCCGCACGCGCGCUACACUGAUGCAUUCAACAAGCCUAGCCUUGACCGAGAGGUCCGGGUAAUCUUUGAAACUGCAUCGUGAUGGGGCUAGAUUAUUGCAAUUAUUAAUCUUCAACGAGGAAUGCCUAGUAAGCGUGAUUCAUCAAAUCGCGUUGAUUACGUCCCUGCCCUUUGUACACACCGCCCGUCGCUCCUACCGAUUGAAUGUGUUGGUGAGGAGCUCGGAUUGGCAGCAGUUGGUGGUUCGCCACCGGCUAUUGCUGAGAAGUCCUCCAAACCGCCCCAUUUAGAGGAAGGAGAAGUCGUAACA